RNAcentral lists this ribosomal RNA (672 nucleotides) under Fusarium tricinctum. RNAcentral's name for it is "eukaryotic LSU rRNA". The stretch from base 153 to 306 matches the Rfam family "5.8S ribosomal RNA". Lineage: Eukaryota; Fungi; Ascomycota; Sordariomycetes; Hypocreales; Nectriaceae. The record is from RNAcentral.
GGGUAUCUAGACUGCAUCUCCCAACCCCUGUGCACAUACCUUAAUGUUGCCUCGGCGGAUCAGCCCGCGCCCGGUAAAACGGGACGGCCCGCCAGAGGAUCCAAACUCUUGCUGUUAUUGUAACUUCUGAGUAAAACAAACAAAUAAAUCAAAACUUUCAACAACGGAUCUCUUGGUUCUGGCAUCGAUGAAGAACGCAGCAAAAUGCGAUAAGUAAUGUGAAUUGCAGAAUUCAGUGAAUCAUCGAAUCUUUGAACGCACAUUGCGCCCGCCAGUAUUCUGGCGGGCAUGCCUGUUCGAGCGUCAUUUCAACCCUCAAGCCCCCGGGUUUGGUGUUGGGGAUCGGCAAGCCUUCUGGCGAGCCGCCCCCUAAAUCUAGUGGCGGUCUCACUGCAGCCUCCAUUGCGUAGUAGCUAACACCUCGCAACUGGAACGCGGUGCGGCCAUGCCGUUAAACCCCCAACUUCUGAAUGUUGACCUCGGAUCAGGUAGGAAUACCCGCUGAACUUAAGCAUAUCAAACCCGGAACGAAAUAUACGUUCUUGAACUCUUCUGAAUCUUCCUUAAUCGUGAUUGCGAUAAAUUCAUUCUGAACUUCCGUAUUCCUCCUGUGCCCGGCUUUCCUUCUUGUUCCUUUGCGACAGACACUAAUGCGAAUCACACUGCAAAUUG